AAGGUCUCACGCGGCUUUCAAAAAAUUCUUCCACUUCAUCACCUUUCUCAUUGCUGCAAAACUGCCAUGUCAAUAUAUAAACAGGGUCAGUUUACGAUUAAAUGUAAAUAAUUGUCGCUCUUGGGGUAAGUUUUAUAUGUAAAUAAUGUAUCAUUCAUUAUUUUUUCGGCUUUUACUUCCUAACCGGUGUUAUGAUGUCAGGGUUAAAAUGUGUGAGGAGCCCACCACCAUACUUGUUUACGAUGAAGUUCCACCUCUCCUGCCCUGCAUUCAUUUUCAAAUAACAUGGGUCAAUUGAAUGUGAACAGCACCGGUGGCUAAUUCUUGUAAAAAUCAAUGCCUAUACCUUCAUCCAUCUCUAUGCUACUCAUGCCCUUCUAAGCUUUAGCAAGUCCAUAAAUAAUAUCUUGAUCCCGAACCUUUUAAUAUGAAAAGAAAAAAGAAAUUCUUUGUUUAUGCAAUCAGCGUGUUGGUCC
RNAcentral lists this long non-coding RNA (476 nucleotides) under Gossypium barbadense (sea-island cotton). Its description in RNAcentral is "long non-coding RNA (GBAR_LNC016057)". The record is from RNAcentral. Lineage: Eukaryota; Viridiplantae; Streptophyta; Magnoliopsida; Malvales; Malvaceae.